GACGAACGCUGGCGGCGUGCUUAACACAUGCGAGUCGAACGGAAAGGCCCUGCUUGCUGGGUGCUCGAGUGGCGAACGGGUGAGUAACACGUGGGUGAUCUGCCCCUUACUUUGGGAUAAGCCUGGGAAACUGGGUCUAAUACUGGAUAGGACCAUGCUGCAGGUGGUGUGGUGGAAAGAUUAGUUUCGGUAAGGGAUGAGCUCGCGGCCUAUCAGCUUGUUGGUGGGGUAAUGGCCUACCAAGGCGUCGACGGGUAGCCGGCCUGAGAGGGUGGACGGCCACAUUGAGACUGAGAUGCGGCCCAGACUCCUACGGGAGGCGGCAGUGGGGGAUAUUGCACAAUAGUCGCAAGCCUGAUGCAGCGACGCCGCGUGGGGGGUGACGGCCUUCGGGUUGUAAACUCCUUUCGGCCAUGACGAAACCCUUGUGGUGACGGUAGUGGUAGAAGAAGCACCGGCUAACUACGUG
This 469-nucleotide ribosomal RNA is filed under the name uncultured bacterium. RNAcentral describes it as "partial 16S ribosomal RNA". It matches the Rfam family "Bacterial small subunit ribosomal RNA", at positions 28 to 507 of the family's 1533-position model. The record is from RNAcentral.